UCUGAGUAGUACUUUAGAAAAGUAAUUUUUUGAUUUUCCAAGUGUUUUUUAUAAUAAUUUGGAAAAACUGUGAACAAAUGAAGGGAAUACGGGAAAAUUUACGAAAUGUAUUAUUUUCAUGAUUCAGUUAAAAAUACUCGAAGACUCGAAAUUUGGACAGAAAAAUUUUAUUUGCCUUUUCUAGACGUGAUAACAUUUUAUUUUCAAAUAAUUUUAGUCGAUUUUGUUUU
This is a non-coding RNA of Cinara cedri, 230 nucleotides long. The record is from the annotation of a GenBank genome assembly. Lineage: Eukaryota; Metazoa; Arthropoda; Insecta; Hemiptera; Aphididae.